RNAcentral lists this ribosomal RNA (437 nucleotides) under uncultured Verrucomicrobiota bacterium. Its description in RNAcentral is "bacterial SSU rRNA". It matches the Rfam family "Bacterial small subunit ribosomal RNA", at positions 958 to 1385 of the family's 1533-position model. Lineage: Bacteria; Pseudomonadati; Verrucomicrobiota. The record is from RNAcentral.
AACGCGAAGAACCUUACCUGGCCUUGACAUGUGCGUAGUAGAAGGGUGAAAGCCCGACGAGGUAGCAAUACCAGCGUACACAGGUGCUGCAUGGCUGUCGUCAGCUCGUGUCGUGAGAUGUUGGGUUAAGUCCCGCAACGAGCGCAACCCUUGUGUCCUGUUGCCACCCCGGCGUGAGCCGGGAGCACUCUGGACAGACUGCCUCGCUUAAACGAGGAGGAAGGUGGGGAUGACGUCAAGUCAGUAUGGCCCUUACGGCCAGGGCUGCACACGUACUACAAUGCCCGGCACAAAGGGAAGCAAGACUGCAAAGUGGAGCAAAUCCCCAAAAACCGGGCCCAGUUCAGAUUGUCGUCUGCAACUCGACGGCAUGAAGUUGGAAUCGCUAGUAAUGGCGCAUCAGCUACGGCGCCGUGAAUACGUUCCCGGGCCUUGUA